Long non-coding RNA from Herpailurus yagouaroundi (jaguarundi), 733 nucleotides. RefSeq lists it as uncharacterized. The transcript has 3 exons. The record is from RefSeq and is a predicted model, not a curated record. Lineage: Eukaryota; Metazoa; Chordata; Mammalia; Carnivora; Felidae.
CGAGUGGGGCUUGGAAGAUUCUUCCAUAUUCUAGACACUCGUCUUCUGUUUGGUAUGUGGCCUGCGAGUAUUUUCUCCAAGCCUGUAGUCUGUCUUUCUACCCUCUUAGCAAAAAUCUGUUUACAAAAACUCUCAUGUGAUCAAUCAAAUCUUGGCAAAGCCCGACUCAGGAAGUGAGAAGAGUGACAGGGCCACAUGAGAGAGAUUAAACGACACUUUUCCUGUUUUUAUAGAAGUUUGGCUGGAUUCCCAAAGCCGAGAACGAUUGCGGAUAAUGGCCGUGCCUUUAAAACCUAGGGGAGCUGGACGCACGCAGGCAGGAUUUACCAAGAGGUGCCAAAAUAGUCCACCACCAUCCCUCCCUGCCUCUGAAGGGGAUGCUUCCCUGCAACCCACUGGCCAGAUGCUGGAGUCCAAAGGGAACCACAGUAGAGAUGGGAGUGUCUGCGAAGGGGGGACGACAGGCAUGUCACUACCGGGCCAGAGGAAAUCUAGCCAAGAAGCAGUCUUCGCUUCUUAGCACCAACAGGCAUUACGAGCCUGUUCACUUCAGCAUCGUUAAUCCAGUUGAAGGAUCCGCAGCUCAAAAAGGCAUCACCAGGGGAGUCAUUUAACGGGCCGUUAAACAGAAGGACGUGGUGUGCGAAAACCCUCAAGACCCAUUUUUCUUCUAAGUUCCAGUCUUUCUCUCUCUCUCUCUCCCCUCUCUUUUUUAAAAGUUUAUGUCUUUGGA